AUGCAGGCCUUACCCAAAGCCAUAUGCAAGCUUUACCCAAAGCCAUAUGCAGGCCUUACCCAAAGCCAUAUGCAGGCCUUACCCAAAGCCAUAUGCAGGCCUUACCCAAAGCCAUAUACAGGCCUUACCCAAAGCUAUAUACAGGCCUUACCCAAAGCUAUAUACAGGCCUUACCCAAAGCUAUAUACAGGCCUUACCCAAAGCCAUAUGCAGGCCUUACCCAAAGCCAUAUGCAGGCCUUACCCAAAGCUAUAUACAGGCCUUAACCAAAGCCAUAUAUAUAUUUUUUUUUUGGUCAACUGUCAAACAAACCAAAAUGUAACUUUCAACUCCAAGAAAACACAGAGAUUUACUAUACCUUUUCUGCUACCUUUUUCUCUUCAUGGGCUCUGUUCCAUCGUCUCUAUGAUGUAAUCUAACAGCGUGGAUGAGAUACUGUCUAACUGACAUAAAUACGUUUCCUCAUACAAAGGAUGAUGCUGAAACAAGCAACUUGUCUUUUAAAAAAGCAACGUCAGUGAAUGUCUUGAGUUCAGUAACUGUUUUAUUCAAACCGUUAUAACAUGGCCAACAUGGUCAUAUUAUAUACCCUUAUAACAUGGUUAUAACAUGGUUAUAACAUGGUUGUAACAUGGCCAACAUGGUCAUAUUAUAUACCCUUAUAACAUGGUUUAACAUGGUUAUAACAUGGUUAUAACAUGGCCAACAUGGUCAUAUUAUAUACCCUUAUAACAUGGUUUAACAUGGUUAUAACAUGGUUUAACAUGGUUAUAACAUGGUUGUAACAUGGUUAUAAUAUGGUUGUACAGGUCAAGCCAGCUGUAAAAACAACAUCAUGUAAAUGUCUAAUAGUUGUUGGCUUCAUUUCUGAAAUAUGUGUGAGUAAAUGGAUUCAAGUUGUUCCUGAAUGAAUUAUUCUGACAAAUUAGUGUUGGUCACUUAACACUUGAUCCCACAUACUUGAUCUCACAUACUUGAUCCCACAUCGUUACAAGGCUGUAAUACGAACUCUAGUCACCAGAAAUGUAGAUUUUAGAUUCAAGCAAAAGUUAAUAAGCAUUUAUAAGUUACUUCGAAGCAAUUAUCUAAUGAAUGUUUUAUAAACAAUGCUAAUAACACAACUAAAUGCACAGGAAAAAGAGUAUUUACAGAGGAAAAAGGCACAGUGAUGACCGAUUGAUCCUGGUCACAGGGAUCAGCUGGUCUGCAGCUUGGCAACAGGCAAGUGGUGUCAUCCUCCUUCGCUUUCGAAUUAGGACAUUCAUGCAGAUUCUUCAUCCACAAUAAUGGGAAGACCGGCUUCAUUUCCCUGACUAGGGGCUAAAAUGCAAGCGAGGAAAAUCAUAUUAGAAUGUGUGGACGUUCAAAGAAAUACGACGUAACAAGUUCACUUUGUAUUUCAUGUAAAGAACCCUUCUCACCUGGUUGCAGCUGCAUCGGCCUCUGCUGCGGCCUCAGCUGCUUUUCAGGAACAAGAACAAUAACAAAUAUGAAAAAUAAAACACAAAACAGUAAAAAAAAAACUACAUUCACUAAUUGUUUUGUGAAAAAAGUUAAGAGGCCUGGAAAGGAAAUCCUGAAAUAAAUCCUGAACUACAAAAGCUGCCGUGUUCACGGCCCUGAUAGGUCCCCUGAUUGUGUCCCUUUUCUGCUGUGUGAAGUCAGCGUAGGGCACCUUAUUUGUAGUGCACUACUUCUGACCAGGGCUCCCUAGGUUUGGUUUGGCAGGCCGUGAAUCAUUCUGCACCUCAGAGAGGCUGGUCUGCUCUCUGUGUUUCUCUGUGUCUCUCUGUGUGUCUCUGUGUGUCUCUCUCUCUAUAUCUAUGUGUGUCUCUCUGUGUGUGUGUCUCUCUGUGUGUCUCUCCGUGUGUCUGUGUCCCUCUCUCUGUGUCUCUGUGUCUCUCUGUGUGUCUCACUAUGGGUCUCUCUGUGUGUCUCUCUGUGUGUCUCUCUCUGUAUAUCUCUGUGUGUCUCUCUGUAUAUCUCUGUGUGUCUCUCUGUGUGUGUCUCUCCGUGUGUGUGUGUCCCUCUCUCUGUGUCUCUGUGUGUCUUUCUGUGAUUCUAUACUGAACCACUGGUUCAAUUCAACUAUCUACAUAAUUUGGACACACCUACUCAUUCAAGUGUUUUUCUUUAUAUUUACUAUUUUCUACAUUGUAGAAUAAUAGUGAAGACAUCAAAACUAUGAAAUAACACACAUGGAAUC
Salmo trutta (river trout) is the source of this 2206-nucleotide long non-coding RNA. Lineage: Eukaryota; Metazoa; Chordata; Actinopteri; Salmoniformes; Salmonidae. The record is from Ensembl.